Molecule: long non-coding RNA, 544 nt
Filed under: Nicotiana benthamiana
Lineage: Eukaryota; Viridiplantae; Streptophyta; Magnoliopsida; Solanales; Solanaceae
Description: long non-coding RNA (NBEN_LNC012398)
Source: RNAcentral
CCUAACCUAAAACCUAUACACACAAUACAUAGAUACACGAAGGAAGGGGGCUGCGCUGGUCUUUUGAACAAAAACAUACGCAUAUACAAUAGAUAGAGACGUUGGGAGCAGGCUGUGGAAGUGGGGCUGCUUCUUCACAAAAACACACACACAACACACAAUAGAUAGAGAACUCGUGGAAAAGCUGAGAAGGAGAAGCUGCACAACAACUGCACAAUACAAACGACCCCGCCUUCCCUUUGAACUUGAUCUUCUCCAAACAACCCCCCUGUUCUUUAUAUUUUUGAAGCAGCCAUCCAUGCCUUUUGGCUGAACGGAAAAUAAGACCCCCUCCAGCCGAUGCUCUCCUUUUAAUCAAGUGAACUUGGAGUCUAUUUUAAAAAGCAUGAUUUGUGCUCCUUUCCCAUUUACUCAAUGUGAGUUUACUAUUUCGUGUAUGAAUUGAUAAAUAUUUAAAGAAGGGUAUGUAGAGUUCAACUUUAGAAAUUAACAGAAUUGGAAAAGUAACUAAGGUAAUACAAAAUCUUUUAAUGGCUUCUCCUAA